GGGGGUGUAGCUCAGCUGGUUAGAGCGCCGGCCUGUCACGCCGGAGGUCGCGGGUUCGAGCCCCGUCACUCCCGCCA
Molecule: transfer RNA, 77 nt
Filed under: Alphaproteobacteria bacterium
Lineage: Bacteria; Pseudomonadati; Pseudomonadota; Alphaproteobacteria
Also listed under: 5 other names
Description: tRNA-Asp
Rfam family: tRNA
About the family: Transfer RNA (tRNA) molecules are approximately 80 nucleotides in length. Their secondary structure includes four short double-helical elements and three loops (D, anti-codon, and T loops).
Source: RNAcentral